RNAcentral lists this ribosomal RNA (636 nucleotides) under Deto marina. RNAcentral's name for it is "bacterial SSU rRNA". It matches the Rfam family "Eukaryotic small subunit ribosomal RNA", at positions 52 to 607 of the family's 1831-position model. The record is from RNAcentral. Lineage: Eukaryota; Metazoa; Arthropoda; Malacostraca; Isopoda; Scyphacidae.
UGCAUGUCUCAGUACUGGCCGACCUAAGGCGAAACCGCGAAUGGCUCAUUAAAUCAGUCAUGAUUCAUUGGAUGUUGUAAUAUCCUUACUCGGAUAACUGUGGUAAUUCUAGAGCUAAUACGUGCAACGAAUGCUCCAACCCCGCCUUAACCGGCGGGGGAAGGGCGCAUUUAUUAGACCAAAAACCGGGUGGACAUAGUGAAGUUGCGUCUUUUUUUCUUUUUCAUAAGAAAUAAGCGUCGCUUCCGUCCAAUCCUCUUCGGUUACGUGGUGACUCUGAAUAACUACAGCCGAGCGCUGAGGUCUUUGUACCGGCGCCGUAUCCUUCAAGUGUCUGCCUUAUCAGCUCUCGAUUGUAGGUUAUUCGCCUACAAUGGCUGUAACGGGUAACGGGGAAUCAGGGUUCGAUUCCGGAGAGGGAGCCUGAGAAACGGCUACCACAUCUAAGGAAGGCAGCAGGCACGCAAAUUACCCAAUCCCGGCUCGGGGAGGUAGUGACGAAAAAUAACGAUGCGGGACUCUUCCGAGGCCUCGCAAUCGGAAUGAGUUCAAUUUAAAAACUUGGACGAGGAUCCAUUGGAGGGCAAGUCUGGUGCCAGCAGCCGCGGUAAUUCCAGCUCCAAUAGCGUAUAUUAA